Molecule: ribosomal RNA, 499 nt
Filed under: uncultured bacterium
Lineage: Bacteria
Description: partial 16S ribosomal RNA
Rfam family: Bacterial small subunit ribosomal RNA
Source: RNAcentral
GACGAACGCUGGCGGCGUGCCUAAUACAUGCAAGUCGAGCGGACUGACUGGGAGCUUGCUCUUGUUCGGUCAGCGGCGGACGGGUGAGUAACACGUGGGCAACCUGCCCGCAAGACCGGGAUAACUCCGGGAAACCGGAGCUAAUACCGGAUAACACCGAAGACCGCAUGGUCUUUGGUUGAAAGGCGGCGCAAGCUGCCACUUGCGGAUGGGCCCGCGGCGCAUUAGCUAGUUGGUGAGGUAACGGCUCACCAAGGCGACGAUGCGUAGCCGGCCUGAGAGGGUGACCGGCCACACUGGGACUGAGACACGGCCCAGACUCCUACGGGAGGCAGCAGUAGGGAAUCUUCCGCAAUGGGCGAAAGCCUGACGGAGAGACGCCGCGUGAGCGAAGAAGGCCUUCGGGUCGUAAAGCUCUGUUGUGAGGGACGAAGGAGCGCCGUUUGAAGAAGGCGGCGCGGUGACGGUACCUCACGAGGAAGCCCCGGCUAACUACGUG